This 460-nucleotide ribosomal RNA is filed under the name uncultured bacterium. RNAcentral's name for it is "partial 16S ribosomal RNA". It matches the Rfam family "Bacterial small subunit ribosomal RNA", at positions 338 to 795 of the family's 1533-position model. The record is from RNAcentral.
CCUACGGGUGGCUGCAGUGAGGAAUAUUGGUCAAUGGACGCAAGUCUGAACCAGCCAUGCCGCGUGAAGGAAGACGGCUCUAUGGGUUGUAAACUGCUUUUAUACGGGAGUAAACGCAGAUACGUGUGUCUUUCUGAAAGUAUCGUACGAAUAAGGAUCGGCUAACUCCGUGCCAGCAGCCGCGGUAAUACGGAGGAUUCAAGCGUUAUCCGGAUUUAUUGGGUUUAAAGGGUGCGUAGGCGGUCGUAUAAGUGAGCGGUGAAAUCCUGAGGCUCAACUUCGGAAUUGCCUCUGAUACUGGUCGGCUAGAGAGUAGUUGCGGUAGGCGGAAUGCAUGGUGUAGCGGUGAAAUGCUUAGAGAUCAUACAGAACACCGAUUGCGAAGGCAGCUUACCAAGCUACUUCUGACGCUGAGGCACGAAAGCGUGGGGAGCAAACAGGAUUAGAUACCCCUGUAGUC